RNAcentral lists this small RNA (132 nucleotides) under Salmonella enterica. RNAcentral describes it as "RtT sRNA". It matches the Rfam family "RtT RNA". From Rfam's summary of the family: This family represents a bacterial cis-regulatory element known as RtT RNA. Lineage: Bacteria; Pseudomonadati; Pseudomonadota; Gammaproteobacteria; Enterobacterales; Enterobacteriaceae. The record is from RNAcentral. RNAcentral also lists the same sequence under 1 other name.
AUAUCUCUCUGUACGGGAAGGAUGAGAAGCUUCGACUAAGGUUCGAUUCGAGCGAAAGCGAGAAAGCGUUGCAGCAGGCAACGACCCGAAGGGCGAAGCGCGCAGCGCUGAGUCAUCCUUCCCCCACCACCA